This 253-nucleotide ribosomal RNA is filed under the name uncultured bacterium. RNAcentral describes it as "partial 16S ribosomal RNA". It matches the Rfam family "Archaeal small subunit ribosomal RNA", at positions 474 to 727 of the family's 1478-position model. The record is from RNAcentral.
UACCAGCACCCCGAGUGGUCGGGACGAUUAUUGGGCCUAAAGCAUCCGUAGCCGGUUUUACAAGUCCUCCGUUAAAUCCAGCUGCUUAACAGAUGGGCUGCGGAGGAUACUAUAAGACUAGGAGGCAGGAGAGGCAAGCGGUACUCAGUGGGUAGGGGUAAAAUCCGUUGAUCCAUUGAAGACCACCAGUGGCGAAGGCGGCUUGCCAGAAUGCGCUCGACGGUGAGGGAAGAAAGCUGGGGGAGCAAACCGG